This 499-nucleotide ribosomal RNA is filed under the name uncultured Glomeromycotina. RNAcentral's name for it is "partial small subunit ribosomal RNA". It matches the Rfam family "Eukaryotic small subunit ribosomal RNA", at positions 591 to 1092 of the family's 1831-position model. Lineage: Eukaryota; Fungi; Glomeromycota. The record is from RNAcentral.
CCAAUAGCGUAUAUUAAAGUUGUUGCAGUUAAAAAGCUCGUAGUUGAAUUUCGAGACCGGUUUAUUGGUCGUGCUUUUGUACGUACUGGUAUUAUUGGUUUCUCCUUUCUGACGAAUCUUAAUGCCAUUAAUUUGGUGUUUUAGGGAAUCAGGACUGUUACUUUGAAAAAAUUAGAGUGUUUAAAGCAGGCUCACGCUUGAAUACAUUAGCAUGGAAUAACGGAAUAGGACGUUUGAUUCUAUUUUGUUGGUUUCUAGGAUCGACGUAAUGAUUAAUAGGGAUAGUUGGUGGCAUUAGUAUUCAAUUGUCAGAGGUGAAAUUCUUGGAUUUAUUGAAGACUAACUACUGCGAAAGCAUUUGCCAAGGAUGUUUUCAUUAAUCAAGAACGAAAGUUAGGAGAUCGAAGACGAUCAGAUACCGUCGUAGUCUUAACCAUAAACUAUGCCGACUAGGGAUCGGAUGAUGUUAAUUUUUUAAUGACUCAUUCGGCGCCUUACG